GGCCGCCUGGCGUAAUGGCAACGCGUCUGACUACGAUGAGAUCCCACGCUUCAGUGUAAUCAGGAGAUUGCAGGUUCGACCCCUGAGGUGGUCA
This is a non-coding RNA of Lentinus tigrinus ALCF2SS1-7, 94 nucleotides long. NCBI's taxonomy places the organism in Eukaryota, Fungi, Basidiomycota, Agaricomycetes, Polyporales, Polyporaceae. The record is from the annotation of a GenBank genome assembly.